GCAAAACGCGAAGAACCUUACCAGGUCUUGACAUCCCAUUGACCACUAUGGAGACAUAGUUUCCCUUCGGGGACAACGGUGACAGGUGGUGCAUGGUUGUCGUCAGCUCGUGUCGUGAGAUGUUGGGUUAAGUCCCGCAACGAGCGCAACCCUUGUUCUUAGUUGCCAUCAUUUAGUUGGGCACUCUAAGGAGACUGCCGGUGACAAACCGGAGGAAGGUGGGGACGACGUCAAAUCAUCAUGCCCCUUAUGACCUGGGCUACACACGUGCUACAAUGGACGGUACAAACGGUUGCCAACCCGCGAGGGGGAGCUAAUCCGAUAAAACCGUUCUCAGUUCGGAUUGUAGGCUGCAACUCGCCUACAUGAAGCCGGAAUCGCUAGUAAUCGCGGAUCAGCAUGCCGCGGUGAAUACGUUCCCGGGUCUUGUACACACCG
RNAcentral lists this ribosomal RNA (438 nucleotides) under uncultured bacterium. Its description in RNAcentral is "bacterial SSU rRNA". It matches the Rfam family "Bacterial small subunit ribosomal RNA", at positions 954 to 1392 of the family's 1533-position model. The record is from RNAcentral.